Molecule: ribosomal RNA, 837 nt
Filed under: uncultured bacterium
Lineage: Bacteria
Description: bacterial SSU rRNA
Rfam family: Bacterial small subunit ribosomal RNA
Source: RNAcentral
ACACAUGCAAGUCGAGGGGCAGCAUUUUUGAAGCUUGCUUCAAAAGAUGGCGACCGGCGCACGGGUGAGUAACGCGUAUGGAACCAACCCGCAACAGGGGGAUAACCCGGAGAAAUCCGGACUAAUACCGCAUGGUACUCUUUGCACAGAAGUGUGAAGAUUUAAAGAUGCGAAUCGGUUGCGGACGGUCAUGCGUUCCAUUAGCUAGUUGGCGGGGUAACGGCCCACCAAGGCGACGAUGGAUAGGGGUUCUGAGAGGAAGGUCCCCCACACUGGUACUGAGACACGGACCAGACUCCUACGGGAGGCAGCAGUGAGGAAUAUUGGUCAAUGGGCGAGAGCCUGAACCAGCCAAGUCGCGUGAGGGAAGACGGCCCUAUGGGUUGUAAACCUCUUUUAGAUGGGAGUAAGGUGUUCUACGCGUAGGAUAUUGUAAGUACCAUCAGAAUAAGCAUCGGCUAAUUCCGUGCCAGCAGCCGCGGUAAUACGGAAGAUGCGAGCGUUAUCCGGAUUUAUUGGGUUUAAAGGGUGCGUAGGCGGGUGAUUAAGUCAGCGGUGAAAUGCGUCAGCUUAACUGGCGAACUGCCAUUGAAACUGGUUACCUUGAGUGUAGCGGAAGUAUGCGGAAUGCGUGGUGUAGCGGUGAAAUGCAUAGAUAUCACGCAGAACUCCGAUUGCGAAGGCAGCAUACCAUACUAUAACUGACGCUGAAGCACGAAAGCGUGGGUAUCGAACAGGAUUAGAUACCCUGGUAGUCCACGCAGUAAACGAUGAAUACUCACCGUUUGCGAUAUAAUGUAAGCGGUAAAGCGAAAGCGUUAAGUAUUCCACCUGGGG